RNAcentral lists this ribosomal RNA (340 nucleotides) under uncultured soil bacterium. RNAcentral describes it as "bacterial SSU rRNA". It matches the Rfam family "Bacterial small subunit ribosomal RNA", at positions 26 to 369 of the family's 1533-position model. The record is from RNAcentral.
AGAUUGAACGCUAGCGGGAUGCUUUACACAUGCAAGUCGAACGGCAGCGCGGACUUCGGUCUGGCGGCGAGUGGCGAACGGGUGAGUAAUAUAUCGGAACGUGCCCAGUAGCGGGGGAUAACUACGCGAAAGCGUGGCUAAUACCGCAUACGCCCUACGGGGGAAAGGGGGGAUCGCAAGACCUCUCACUAUUGGAGCGGCCGAUAUCAGAUUAGCUAGUUGGUGGGGUAAAGGCCCACCAAGGCGACGAUCUGUAGCUGGUUUGAGAGGACGACCAGCCACACUGGGACUGACGACACGGCCAGACUCCUACGGGAGGCAGCAGUGGGGAAUUUUGGAC